GUGAGGAAUAUUGGACAAUGUGCGCAAGCCUGAUCCAGCCAUGCCGCGUGCAGGAAGACGCAUCUAUGGUGUGUAAACUGCUUUUGUACGGGAAGAAACACUCCCUCGUGAGGGAGCUUGACGGUACCGUAAGAAUAAGGAUCGGCUAACUCCGUGCCAGCAGCCGCGGUAAUACGGAGGAUCCAAGCGUUAUCCGGAAUCAUUGGGUUUAAAGGGUCCGUAGGCGGUUUAAUAAGUCAGUGGUGAAAGCCCAUCGCUCAACGAUGGAACGGCCAUUGAUACUGUUAGACUUGAAUUACAAGGAAGUAACUAGAAUAUGUAGUGUAGCGGUGAAAUGCUUAGAUAUUACAUGGAAUACCAAUUGCGAAGGCAGGUUACUACUUGUGGAUUGACGCUGAUGGACGAAAGCGUGGGGAGCGAACAGGAUUAGAAACCCUGGUAGUCC
Molecule: ribosomal RNA, 445 nt
Filed under: uncultured bacterium
Lineage: Bacteria
Description: partial 16S ribosomal RNA
Rfam family: Bacterial small subunit ribosomal RNA
Source: RNAcentral